This 394-nucleotide ribosomal RNA is filed under the name uncultured fungus. RNAcentral's name for it is "eukaryotic LSU rRNA". The stretch from base 1 to 125 matches the Rfam family "5.8S ribosomal RNA", at positions 30 to 154 of the family's 154-position model. The record is from RNAcentral. Lineage: Eukaryota; Fungi.
GCAUCGAUGAAGAACGCAGCGAAAUGCGAUACGUAAUGUGAAUUGCAGAAUUCAGUGAAUCAUCGAAUCUUUGAACGCAUCUUGCGCUCUCUGGUAUUCCGGAGAGCAUGUCUGUUUGAGUGUCAUGAAUUCUUCAACCCAAUCUUUUCUUGUAAUCGAUUGGUGUUUGGAUUCUGAGCGCUGCUGGCUUUAUUGCUCAGCUCGUUCGUAAUACAUUAGCAUCCCUAAUACAAGUUUGGAUUGACUUGGCGUAAUAGACUAUUCGCUAAGGAUUCGGUGGAAACAUCGAGCCAACUUCAUUAAGGAAGCUCCUAAUUUAAAAGUCUACCUUUUGAUUAGAUCUCAAAUCAGGCAGGAUUACCCGCUGAACUUAAGCAUAUCAAUAAGCGGAGGA